Molecule: ribosomal RNA, 253 nt
Filed under: uncultured bacterium
Lineage: Bacteria
Description: partial 16S ribosomal RNA
Rfam family: Bacterial small subunit ribosomal RNA
Source: RNAcentral
UACGUAGGGUGCGAGCGCUGUCCGGAAUUAUUGGGCGUAAAGGGCUCGUAGGCGGUUUGUCGCGUCGGGAGUGAAAACCCAGGGCUUAACUCUGGGCUUGCUUUCGAUACGGGCAGACUAGAGGUAUGCAGGGGAGAACGGAAUUCCUGGUGUAGCGGUGAAAUGCGCAGAUAUCAGGAGGAACACCGGUGGCGAAGGCGGUUCUCUGGGCAUUACCUGACGCUGAGGAGCGAAAGUGUGGGGAGCGAACAGG